This 504-nucleotide long non-coding RNA is filed under the name Equus caballus (horse). RNAcentral describes it as "lncRNA (ENSECAG00000044514.1)". The record is from RNAcentral. Lineage: Eukaryota; Metazoa; Chordata; Mammalia; Perissodactyla; Equidae.
GUGAGACAUGCCCUCUGUUCUCAGGUCAAUUCUCCCCUGAGGAAACACACUCACUCGAGGGCAUCUUUCUGGGCCCCACUUGCCUCCCUUUUAGAAGCUGGAGGCGACAAGAGCUUGUGUCAGUCUGCUCAGGCUGUGUAACAAAACACCACAGGCCAGGAUGCUUCAAUAUCAGACAGUUGUUUUCUCAGUUCUGCAGGCUAGAAGUCCAAGCUCAAGGUGCCAGAAAAUUUGGUUUCUGAUGAAGACUCUCCUCCUGGCUUGCCAAUGGCUGCCUUCUCACCAUGUCCUCACAUGGCCCUUCUUCUGGCUCUCUCUGGCUCCCGGAACCCAUGAAGCCUGUGCUCAUGCAGCUGGAAGUGCCAGGGAAGAAACGCCCACCCUCCUCAGGUUCAGCCCUCAACCAAUGACUCACAGGAGUUGAGGAAUAAAUGUCCCUCGGGUGGGGACAACUCUGAUGAAUAUCUUCUACAUGGGUUCUCAGAGCUCCCCGGCAGAAUUAAG